This 83-nucleotide transfer RNA is filed under the name Actinomycetota bacterium. RNAcentral's name for it is "tRNA-Leu". It matches the Rfam family "tRNA". From Rfam's summary of the family: Transfer RNA (tRNA) molecules are approximately 80 nucleotides in length. The record is from RNAcentral. Lineage: Bacteria; Bacillati; Actinomycetota.
GCGCGAGUGGCGGAAUUGGCAGACGCAGGGUUCAGGUGCCUGUGUCCUUCGGGAUGUGAGGGUUCAAGUCCCUCCUCGCGCAC